GCGGGUGUAACUCAGUUGGUAGAGUACAAGCUUCCCAAGCUUGGAGUCGCGAGUUCGAAUCUCGUCACCCGCUCCA
RNAcentral lists this transfer RNA (76 nucleotides) under Desulfobaculum bizertense DSM 18034. Its description in RNAcentral is "Desulfovibrio bizertensis DSM 18034 tRNA_Gly_CCC". It matches the Rfam family "tRNA". From Rfam's summary of the family: Transfer RNA (tRNA) molecules are approximately 80 nucleotides in length. Lineage: Bacteria; Pseudomonadati; Thermodesulfobacteriota; Desulfovibrionia; Desulfovibrionales; Desulfovibrionaceae. The record is from RNAcentral. RNAcentral also lists the same sequence under 1 other name.